AAUCAGUCAAGGUAUUGCGAAGUUACCUUGGACUGGCCAAACCUCAGUGGGCACAUUUUGAUUAUACUGGAUUUUCUUACAAUGAAAUGAAAGUCAACAGGGAAAAUAAUGAGGCGCUGUAAUGCUUUACCUUUCUUGUCUUUUAUAAUAAUUUAGUUCAAGCAGGCUUUGGGAAAAUCACACUUUUAUUUCAAGAUCCAAAAAAAUCAAUAUAGCAGUAUACAUUUAGUGCUUGAGGGAAAAUUUACUCAAAAUUGUUUCAUAAUGAAAAUGCCAAAGGCAGAUGCUUUUGUUCAAUCUGUUACUUUGAAGGGACCUUGUAAUCUCAAUUCCAAGUUAAAGACUUAUGGCUGUUGUAUCAAACAGAAGCAGAACAAGUACCUCUGCAAGUGAGGAAAUGUUAGGGAUGUGUGUACAGUAAUUCAAUUAAAAACAAAAUAAAAUAAACCAAACAGUAUUAGCACAUUUUAGCACAGGAAACCAUAAGUACUUUGGACUAACUGCUGACUGUACAAUACAUAAAAUACUUUCACUAGUUUAUCUACAAGCUUUAUCUGUUGUUCUUUGCUUAACCAGUGCCUUUCCAUCUGCGUGAACAAGGUCAUGGAGCAUCUCAGCCAGCAAUGCUCUAGCUUCCAAAAAUUUGGGGGAAUAAUCAAUGGAAAACAGAUCAAGCUGAUCUACGGAAAAAAUUGUGCACAGAUAAAUCAGCAUUUCCUUUUAAUUUUUGUGAUGGCGUGUAUGAAACUGAAUUUCUUUAGAUACUUAGGAGGUAGCCAAAACUUGUACUGAAAUAAUAUAUUCAAGUAAGGAUCUUAGACCUUGUUCCCCAGUUCAUGCUAUGACAAUAGUGGGUCAAGUUUUCUUACUACAAUACGAUGUUCUCAUUGCUGCCCUGUGCCCCUCAUGGCAGCCCCAGAUGAUCAGGUCUCUCACCAACUACUUUUUCCCAAAGCAGGAGAGAAGCUGAAGCACUGUGCAGCAGUCAGAAUGUAUUUACCUCUUCCUCUGACACUUGGCCAGAGCUGGAGGGCAGAAAGGAGAGGAGAUGCUCAUGUAGCACAUGCUGUCAUUACAGUGCAGUAGAAGCUAUGAGUACGCUCAGUGAUGCUGCUGAGACACUAAGAUUAUAAUUUUCCCUAUUUAAGAAGUACAUCAUUAUUCUCAUGUACACCCAAACUGCUGUGGCAAUUUUGAAGAUACCAAAAAUGCAAAAUCAGGCCUUCGAUGUGAGAGAGAACGUUCUUUACCAUGCAGGCGAACUGCUAGUGGGAGGUACGUAACAGUAAAGAUCAUUUUAAUCUUGUUAUAGAGGAAAAUGCUCUAAACAAAUCUCUGAGAUAUUAAGGUCUACUAUUGCAUUAUCUCAGUUACAGAGUAAAAAGCAGCAGAAAGAAAAAAAUCAGAAUUAUCUGUUUGCUAUAAAGCUGGUCCUGCACCCAGUCUGUUCUCAGUGUAAUUUCUAUGGUUAGCUUUUCAACUGGCUGCCUGUACAACUACCUUGCAAAUGAGUUUAAUUUGUGCAUAUAGUAGGAGUUUCAUUCUGUUGUGUCACGAGACAGAAAAACAACGUUUUAGGUAACAAACAGUAUAUUUUUUUUUUUCCCUAAGGAAUGAAGAAAUAGAGUCUUAUUUUCACUGAGAUUUAAUAUGAUACAGGUAACUCUUCUAACUCUUGCAGUUGUUUUGGGAAAGAGUAAAAUAGCCAAGGGUAAGAGAUGAGGAAAAUAAAAUAAACUGAAGUAAGAGACCUAGAAAACCUGUUUUAGAAAGUAGAUACAAGAAGGCAGGAAACCUUUUCUCUAAGGAAGACAAGAGGUACCAGAAGCCAUUCGUUACAUUUUUUGGAAGUAUAGGAAAACUGAUAGGUUGGGGCUUGAACUGAUGAUGAAGUACGUGGUGAAGGUCUGUGGCUGGGCAUGGGCAAAUUGUAUGCACCUGUGCUCCCCUCUUGACCAGAAGAGUUGGACCCAAGGUGGAGCCACUCUGGGCUCCAAUAAAGGCCAGCCACUGGAGGGAGAGCAUCUCUCAGACCUAAGCUGCUUCCUGAGAAAAAGUGCUGUAUUGCCAGAAAACCCCUUCACCAGCUGGGUGAGUUCUAUCCUUUUUGUAUAUGACUGUUGGUCUACCUGCAAGUAGUUUGCCUGGUAUUGCCAAGAACCUGUCAGAAGCAAUUUUGCUUCUUUGUGAGAGCAGGAAAACUAUCUUGAGGGCUUCCUUUUUUUUUUCUCCUCUAUAUUUCUGUCAGAAGAAAAGGAGGCAGUGAGCUUCCCUGUCUUCUUCCUCUCUGCCUAAGUUUACACAGAAAGGAUCCCCUCUAGGGAUUCACAAUAAUGCAAUAUUUUACUUCAGUUCGCAUUAAAAAUCUUCUUCAGUGUUUACAUCAACAAAAGGAAGUUCCUUGCAACUGAACAGCCUAUCAAUGAUAAUAUCUGCAAUGGGCCUGGCUCUGUUUAUCUGAAGCAAAAAUAAGUAUUUGUUUCAUGACAAAUGGGAAGUCCACGGAAGAAACUUCAUUAUAUAUUUUGUAGUAAGGUUCUGUGACCCUUGGGCAUAAAACCAUAAAGCACUGGAGAUGACUACUUGACUUUUCCAAUUUUCUUAUUAUACACACUCCUCUCCAGACUUUCUGCAAUCAGUCUUUGUCUUUGAUUGCUCUGCAGUUUCCGACUCCAUUUCAGAGCCAGCUGUGCAGGAAUAGCUGUGUUUUUCUCCUCCAACCUAGUGGUCAAUUUCACCAACUGAAGAAAGCUUUUAACUAUGCAUUUCUUAAUGUGUACAAAUCUGUUAAAAUAAAUAUGAACUUCAGGCUCUGUGUGAAGUAUUUUGUGAUCCUCUGUACAUGUCUGCAACCUUCCUAUUUCUCGACCUCUGAAACGUUAAAAAUUGCUGGUCAGUAAUGAGGUAAAGAGCUCUGACAUCCUUGAACCCAUGGCUGCAAUAUGAUCCAUUUAGCUUUCCAUCUGUUUCUUACGAAUGGAAAAGCACAAUUAUAUGCAUACCAAACGUGUAAAAUUGAAUAUUUACGUGUCCGAAUAGUUGAGAAGUUCAAUUCAUGAACUGUGUACUCAGGUUGUGUGUCAGCAGGAGCGCAGUUCGGAGCACUGAAGUGAGUCGGGCUGAGCGCGGUGUGCCGCGUAGGAGGCGGCCGUGAAUCGCCUUGGUUUUAAAAUCGCUCCUCGUGCCGAUGGUCCGGGCGCCCCGCGGACACGUCAGGCACGUGAAGCCGGGAAGCCCGGCGGGGCACGAGCGGUGCCCCGGGACUGGAGACCGCGUGCCGCCUGCUUUUUAACAAAGUGAUUUAAUGUUUAUUUCUGUAAUUUCCCCCGCUUCGCAUCGCCUCGUCUCGCUCAGUUCCCGCCUUCUCGCCCCUCGGAGGAGCCGCCCC
Molecule: non-coding RNA, 3388 nt
Organism: Meleagris gallopavo (turkey)
Lineage: Eukaryota; Metazoa; Chordata; Aves; Galliformes; Phasianidae
Source: RefSeq, a predicted model, not a curated record